This 351-nucleotide ribosomal RNA is filed under the name Triticum aestivum (bread wheat). RNAcentral's name for it is "partial small subunit ribosomal RNA". The record is from RNAcentral. Lineage: Eukaryota; Viridiplantae; Streptophyta; Magnoliopsida; Poales; Poaceae.
AUGGCACGCCUAGUCGUACUGCACAGUGGAGGUCAGCAACGCACAGGACCGCAAGCACACCCAUUUUACAAACAUGUAGAACUCAAUAAUGCACACGGAUAUCGCACGCUGCCCUUAACUGCACGACGAAGCAGCAACCUCACCGGUGGCAGCAAGACUCUAAACUGUGUUGUCGAGAGUAAGGAGCUCCCAAGGUUUUUCUUUUCCUCAUUUUACAUACUGAAUCAACCACCAUCAUGUUCUUUCUCUGGGAGGUUCAGCCGCCGUCCUCAUCCUCGUGCAAGGAAUGGGGUGGGACCUGAGACCCAACCAGGCUACAACGUCUCACCUGCUGAAUCACAACAACCCUAG